Molecule: unclassified non-coding RNA, 1287 nt
Filed under: uncultured fungus
Lineage: Eukaryota; Fungi
Description: sequence contains 18S rRNA gene, ITS1, 5.8S rRNA gene, ITS2, 28S rRNA gene
Rfam family: Eukaryotic large subunit ribosomal RNA (bases 383-1287)
Source: RNAcentral
GGAAGGAUCAUUAACAAGAAAUGAACUAAUAACUAGCUGAGUAUCAUAUAACCGUAGUGGUUAUAGCAUAUAUAAACAUAUACUUCUUAAUAAUACAUAAACUAAUCGAUGGUUGAUAAAAAUCUAAAUUUUCAACAACGGAUGUCUUGGCUCCCAUAUCGAUGAAGAACGCAGCAAGAAUGCGAUAUGCAAUGUGAAUUGCAGAACCACGAAUCAUCGGAUAUUUGAACGCAACUGGCACUAGCCAACUAGUAUACUUGUUUCAGUGUGCUCAAACAAAUAAUUAAAUCUAAAUGUGGGAGAAUUUCUCCUAUGAAACAAUGCUCCUCGCAGCAGUCACAUUCUUAUGUGAGCUGGCGUAGAGACAAAACACACUUUAUACGCACCUGAAAUCAAGUAAGAUGACCCGCUGGACUUAAGCAUAUUAUUAAGCGGAGGAAAAGAAAUUAACUAAGAUUGCCUUAGUAAGGGCGACUGAACCGGCAAAAGCUCAAAAUUAAAAUCGAAAAUUCAAAGAAUCUUCGAAUUGUAAUCAGGAAUACCUAAAUACGAAAAAUCGCUCAAUCAUGUCGAAUCAUGAACCAGAGAGGGUGAAAGUCCCGUACAGCCUCUUUCCGCUCAAGGUAUUCUCAACAAGAGUCGGGUUGCUUGGAACUGCAGCCCUAAAUGGGAGAUAUAAAUCUUCCAAAGCUAAAUAAGGAUGGGAGACCGAUAGCGAACAAGUACUGUGAAGGAAAGAUGAAAAGGACUUUGAAAAGAGAGUGAAAAGAUCUGAAAUCGUUGAGAAGGAAAAGUAAAAACUGACGAUCAUAAUGAAAGACUACUUAAUCUAAUUAAGGAAAUCUUCUCAAUAUGAUGGGCAAAAUCAGCCUUGCAAAAUAUCCGUAAUAGGAUAUUCGCUUAAACAAUAAUAUAAAACCAGUUAAUAAAUACACUUCUUGAGGCUGACCCUCACGGGGACCUUUUGCCAAAAUGGUUUUUACUGUCCCGUCUUGAAGCACGGACCAAGGAGUCUAACAAAUAUACGAGUGUGCGAGUUUAAAAACUCAUACGCAAAAUGAAAGUAAAAGGUGCGCAGAUUUAUCCUCAGCAUCGACCGACCUAGUAAAAAAGGUUUGAGUUAUAGCAUAUCUGUUAGGACCCGAAAGAUGGUGAACUAUGCCUGAGUAGGGUGAAGUCAGGGGAAACCCUGAUGGAGGCUCGUAGCAUUGUUGACGUGCAAAUCACUCGUCAAACUUGUGUAUAGGGGCGAAAGACUAAUCGAACCAUCUAGUAGCUGGUUCCCUC